Molecule: ribosomal RNA, 508 nt
Filed under: uncultured bacterium
Lineage: Bacteria
Description: bacterial SSU rRNA
Rfam family: Bacterial small subunit ribosomal RNA
Source: RNAcentral
UUCUGGCUCAGGAUGAACGCUAGCGGCAGGCUAACACAUGCAAGUCGAGGGGCAACGCGAGUAGCAAUACUUGGCGGCGACCGGCGCAAGGGUGCGUAACGCGUGAGCAACAUGCCCGUAUCAGGGGGAUAAUCCAGGGAAACUUGGUCUAAUACCCCAUAGUAAUUUUGUAAGGCAUCUUAUAAGAUUUAAAGCUUUUGGUGGAUACGGAUUGGCUCGCGUGACAUUAGCUGGAUGGUAAGGUAACGGCUUACCAGUGGCUAUGAUGUCUAGGGGUUCUGAGAGGAAGGUCCCCCACACUGGAACUGAGACACGGUCCAGACUCCUACGGGAGGCAGCAGUGAGGAAUAUUGGACAAUGGAUGGAAAUCUGAUCCAGCCAUGCCGCCGUGAAGGAAGAAGGUCCUAUGGAUUGUAAACUUCUUUUGUAUGGGAGCAAUAAGGCCUACGAGUAGGUUGAUGAGAGUACCAUACGAAUAAGCACCGGCUAACUCCGUGCCAGCCGCGGC